CGCAUCUGUGCAUGCAGCAUAUCAAUAAGCGGAGGAAAAGAAACUAACAAGGAUUCCCCUAGUAACGGCGAGUGAAGCGGGAAGAGCUCAAAUUUGAAAUCUUAAAGGGUUUCCCUUUACGAAUUGUAGUUUAAAGAAGUGUUUUCUGUUGAGGUUUUGGUAAAAGUUCUUUGGAAUAGGACAUCAUAGAGGGUGAGAAUCCCGUAUUUGACCUUUACUUUCAACUUUGUGAUACACUUUCAAAGAGUCGGAUUGUUUGGGAAUGCAGUCCAAAAUGGGUGGUAAAUUUCAUCUAAAGCUAAAUAUUGGCGAGAGACCGAUAGCGAACAAGUACCGUGAGGGAAAGAUGAAAAGAACUUUGAAAAGAGAGUUAAACAGUACGUGAAAUUGUCAAAAGGGAAGCGUUUGACACCAGUGUUGUUUUUCUGAAAAUCAAUUAAAGAACUGUUUAUGCUAAGCUUGUUUAGACUUUAUCAGCUAACUGUUUAGUUUUGAGCUUUUCUUUAAUGCACUUUUCAGUUAACAAGUCAACAUCAAUUUCUUUUGCUGUAAAAAAGCUUGAGGAAGGUGGCUUGAGAUUCGUCUUAAGUGUUUAUAGCCUCUUGCCUAUGCAGUCGGAGAGAUUGAGGUCUGCAGCGUAGAUCCUUCGGGGCUAAAUGCAUUUGUGCUAAGUUAUAGCAUUUUAUAGACAACUUGUUGACUAUGAUUUGUCUUGUAGCUUACUCGCUUAUGUUAUUUUACCUACGCUUAGGAUGUUGAGUCAUCACACAUCUCU
Molecule: ribosomal RNA, 775 nt
Filed under: uncultured Neocallimastigales
Lineage: Eukaryota; Fungi; Neocallimastigomycota; Neocallimastigomycetes; Neocallimastigales
Description: partial large subunit ribosomal RNA
Rfam family: Eukaryotic large subunit ribosomal RNA
Source: RNAcentral